AACGUAGGACGCAAGCGUUAUCCGGAAUUACUGGGCGUAAAGCGCGUGUAGGUGGUUUUAUAAGUCACUGUUGAAAGCUCCUGGCUAAACUGGGAGAGGUGCGGUGAGACUGUAGAGCUAGAGUUUGGGAGAGGGGUGCGGAAUUCCGGGUGUAGUGGUGAAAUGCGCAGAUAUCAGGAGGAACACCGGUGGCGAAGGCGGGUCUCUGGGCCGAUACUGACGCUGAGGAGCGAAAGCGUGGGGAGCAAACAGG
RNAcentral lists this ribosomal RNA (253 nucleotides) under uncultured bacterium. RNAcentral's name for it is "partial 16S ribosomal RNA". It matches the Rfam family "Bacterial small subunit ribosomal RNA", at positions 524 to 776 of the family's 1533-position model. The record is from RNAcentral.